CCCAGACUCCUACGGGAGGCAGCAGUGGGGAAUAUUGCACAAUGGGGGAAACCCUGAUGCAGCAACGCCGCGCGAGUGAAGAAGUCAUUCGUGAUGUAAAGCUCUAUCAGCAGGGAAGAAAAUGACGGUACCUGACUAAGAAGCCCCGGCUAACUACGUGCCAGCAGCCGCGGUAAUACGUAGGGGGCAAGCGUUAUCCGGAUUUACUGGGUGUAAAGGGAGCGUAGGCGGAAUAUCAAGUCAGCGGUAAAAAUUCGGGGCUCAACCCCGUCGUGCCGUUGAAACUGAUGUUCUUGAGUGGGCGAGAAGGAUGCGGAAUGCGUGGUGUAGCGGUGAACUGCAUAGAUAUCACGCAGAACUCCGAUUGCGAAGGCAGCAUACCGGCGCCCAACUGACGCUGAAGCACGAAAGCGUGGGGAUCGAACAGGAUUAGAUACCCCUGUAUAC
Molecule: ribosomal RNA, 447 nt
Filed under: uncultured bacterium
Lineage: Bacteria
Description: bacterial SSU rRNA
Rfam family: Bacterial small subunit ribosomal RNA
Source: RNAcentral